UGUGCCCUUGAGGCGUGGCUUCCGGAGCUAACGCGUUAAGUAGACCGCCUGGGGAGUACGGCCGCAAGGUUAAAACUCAAAUGAAUUGACGGGGGCCCGCACAAGCGGUGGAGCAUGUGGUUUAAUUCGAUGCAACGCGAAGAACCUUACCUGGUCUUGACAUCCACGGAAGAAUCCAGAGAUGGAUUUGUGCCUUCGGGAGCCGUGAGACAGGUGCUGCAUGGCUGUCGUCAGCUCGUGUUGUGAAAUGUUGGGUUAAGUCCCGCAACGAGCGCAACCCUUAUCCUUUGUUGCCAGCGGUCCGGCCGGGAACUCAAAGGAGACUGCCAGUGAUAAACUGGAGGAAGGUGGGGAUGACGUCAAGUCAUCAUGGCCCUUACGACCAGGGCUACACACGUGCUACAAUGGCGCAUACAAAGAGAAGCGACCUCGCGAGAGCAAGCGGACCUCAUAAAGUGCGUCGUAGUCCGGAUUGGAGUCUGCAACUCGACUCCAUGAAGUCGGAAUCGCUAGUAAUCGUGGAUCAGAAUGCCACGGUGAAUACGUUCCCGGGCCUUGUACACACCGCCCGUCACACCAUGGGAGUGGGUUGCAAAAGAAGUAGGUAGCUUAACCUUCGGGAGGGCGCUUACCACUUUGUGAUUCAUGACUGGGGUGAAGUCGUAACAAGGUAACCGUAGGGGAACCUGCGGUUGGA
This 697-nucleotide ribosomal RNA is filed under the name Salmonella enterica. RNAcentral's name for it is "bacterial SSU rRNA". It matches the Rfam family "Bacterial small subunit ribosomal RNA", at positions 825 to 1522 of the family's 1533-position model. Lineage: Bacteria; Pseudomonadati; Pseudomonadota; Gammaproteobacteria; Enterobacterales; Enterobacteriaceae. The record is from RNAcentral.